GUCAGUGCUCGUGACCAGUAAGUCCUGCUGCCGGGGGGAGGAGCCUUCACAGGGGACAGCAUGAGGCUGCGGCCCAGCUCACUCGGCAACACUGAGGGUUUCCAGCUCAUGCAGCCAGGCACUCAAAGGAGCCGCGGCUUUUCGACUCGGUUCCGAGCACAGACGACCGAGCACGAGAUCAGGCUGGUCCCCCAGUCGCAUUCAAAUGCUUACGUAGCUUUGCGUCCGCAUUAUCGUGGCUGAGCACCUGUGCCCGAUCUCACUCUCCCCCCAAAGUGUAAUUCCGUGUAAGGGCGACCCGGUUCAGAAAAGCAGCGAGGUCUGUCUGGGCUGAUGGGCGUGGUGCUCCGUCUGUGCGCAUGUGUGUGCCCACCUGCACGUGUGUGUAAAUGCUGCCUGUGCACUCAUCCCCGCGCGUGCAUACGCUGUGCGUGCGCCUGUGCCCGCGUGUUUACACGCUGCGUGUGCACCUGCGUGCGUCCAUUUGCACACGUGUGUGCGCACCUGUGCGCUUAUGGGCGUGCGCUGUGUGCGCGCCUGUGCGCGUGGGGGUGCGCACCUGUGCGGAUGUGUCUGCGCACGCGUGAGCGCGCGCAGGUGGACGCAGGGCCGUCAGCGCGAACCCCAGGGGCCAGCGUCCCUCCCGCGCCUCCCGCGCCUCCGCCCGCACCAACGGCCGCGUCCCGCCCUGGGCGGACGACUACCUGCCAUGGAGGAAGAGCCGAUGAUGGUGACCUGGGGGUCGCUGGCUUGCACGUUGGAAGAGAUGUGGCCCAUGACGGUGUCGACGGUCUCUAUCAAGCCCAGCACGACGGCGUUGUCCUGCAAACGACACAACGUGAAGGAACUGAGCAAAUGGAACGGGCACAACUGCCCUCCCCAGACGCACUCGCCGAGCUCGCGGGGUCCUGCUCCGCACUGGCGCCGCCGGUGCCCCCUCCCCCUCCAAAGGUAGAGCGCCGCGUGUCUGCGGAGGCCAUGGUGGGCCAGGCCAGACCUCUCCGUGACCGGAUGGGAAGGAGCCGUGCCACUACCCCUCUCACAGGCAAACGCCCCACCGAGCCCGCGGAACACAGUCCCCCGGGCCACCCAAGCCAUUGGCUCCAAGGCUUAGCCCCAGGUGACAGAGACCCAGUCCCAGCUGCACCCUGAAGUCACCAGGAACUUCAGCCAAUCUCUGACCGGCCCUGCCAUGCCCCCUUCUGUUUCCCGCGGAAGGGGCUAACUGGCCCCAAGUUCCCUCCAGGACAAGGACACCAGCGGCUUCACCCUAUUCUACAUGCAGGGGAUGGACGCCAGCUCCCCAGAUCCUCUCUGCAUGACCUUCCUGGUGCACCCCUUCCCUCCAAGGGCCCUCUCCACUUACUCUGCAUCCCCCAAGCAGAGAGGAUCCCAGUGGUCACUGCCCCCAAGAAGGCAGGGGUCCCUCCUGGUCACCCCGUAUCUCUGCAGACAGCCCACCUUGGGCUGACUGCCCCUCAUCGUGAGACACUCAUCUACCAGGGACAGGGCCUCUCAGCCACCCAGGCACGCAGUGGCUGUUCCCAUCUGCCAUCAUGCCCCUCUCUCCUUCCCGCCUUUCUGAAAACCAUCUGUCAGCUAAGCGUCCUUAGCAUUCUCUCACAAACACAUGCUCCAUGGGAAUCUAAUGAGGUGGAAAUAGAACAGGGAGGCCAAUUUUAGACAUUUUCUUUCAGGCCUGUGGCCUGGUUUCAAUCAGCUAAGCCCGGUGGAGCACAUGGAGAUCUGUGUUUCUGGCCGGCAGUUCUGUUGGGCAGUGGCUGAUUUGUACCUUCUCUCUAAGGAACAGUCGAGCCUGCCUAAGCCUGAAUGGUUUCAUGAUCGUUUCUGUUCUGUGGCGGAGCAUUCAAAAAAAGUCACUUUAAAAUGAUGCUGAGAAAAUAGGCCUACUCAGGUCCUCCGCUGGCCAUGUUCCCAGGCUUUCCCAGGCUGCAGCCCUGUACAGAGCCACCCCCGGAGGUCAUGAACUCUAGACGGCUGUGCCUUUUAGAAAAGGUUUCUAGGUAAGAUUAUCCCAAUCUUAAAUGCAGGAUCCUUUAUCCCCCCUCCCUUUGCCAGGGUUAAAUCCAAGCUCAUUCUGUUUGAAACUGUUCAAAUAAAAAGUUCAUCAAAUGUAAA
This is a long non-coding RNA of Felis catus (domestic cat), 2139 nucleotides long. RefSeq lists it as uncharacterized. Lineage: Eukaryota; Metazoa; Chordata; Mammalia; Carnivora; Felidae. The record is from RefSeq and is a predicted model, not a curated record. The transcript has 2 exons.